UAAACUUGAAUGGAAACUGCGAAACUGCA
Molecule: non-coding RNA, 29 nt
Filed under: Homo sapiens (human)
Lineage: Eukaryota; Metazoa; Chordata; Mammalia; Primates; Hominidae
Source: RNAcentral